RNAcentral lists this long non-coding RNA (1649 nucleotides) under Macaca fascicularis (crab-eating macaque). RNAcentral describes it as "lncRNA (ENSMFAG00000053556.1)". Lineage: Eukaryota; Metazoa; Chordata; Mammalia; Primates; Cercopithecidae. The record is from RNAcentral.
GCCACAAACAUCAUGGGAGUCUCCGAAUGUCUGUGUUUUAAAGACACAGAUGGAAACAUUUAUGAAAGCCGUGUCCAGGUGACUCUGCCCCCUCACCCCUGCCUCACGCAGGAUGUGAGACUGGGCGAGACAUUCCACCUGGUAGCCUGUGCUUGCUCAGUGCCAGCGGCCGUUGCUGCCGUGGACAGAUCCUGCGGCUCAGAGGCCACCGUCUUUCCUGCAUCCUCACCAGUGACGGCCCCGGGAAGCUGCUGCAGGGUGGGGCUGCGCGGCUCGCUUCUCAAAUAAAGGAAAACGUCACAUCAAGCACAGCACAGCCACAUCCUUGCCUUCUCCAUCUGUUCCCUCCAAAAUCCCACAAUAGUUACGGCUGUAACUAAGAUGUAAUAAUCAUACAAAUAUUGUGAAUAACAUACACGGCUGAAUUUAACAUCAAAAUGAAAUGAAUUUCUAGAAAGUAUUUUAAGAUGCCAUAGUUAAUGUAAGAAAAAAUAAAGAACUUGCAUACACUAACAAUAAAUAAAUCAACGUGGUGUUAAAAUCUGCCCCGUUUCAUCUACCAUCUCCGCAAAAUGUGCCCACACUAGAGGGUCUUCAGAGUGAGGUGGACCAGGCCUUCCAGAAGCACAUCACCCUCAUCUUAAGUGGGUCCAGAGAAUGGAAGGAAAGGGGCAGGAGUGACUCAUGUCUUGAUGGUUGUGUAUACCGUGUGCAAAAUACGCAGAGAAACUACAGGCCAAGUUUAAACAUAGAUGGAUAACCCCUAAGUGAGAUUAAUCAAUUCCAAGAGCAUAUUAAAAAGUCAUGAUUAAAGAAGCUUACCUCAUAAAGUACAAGAAUGAUGCACCAUCAGAAAAUCUGUCAAUCACACACAAAAUAAAAAUUGUGAUUGUUUCAGUAGAUGCAGAAAAACACUGAUGGAGUUCAAUAUUUUUCUCUCUCUUUUUUCUUGAGACAGAGUCUCACUCCAUUGCGCAGGCUGUAGGGCAGUGGUGUGACCUCGGCUCACUGCAACCUCCACCUCCCGGGUUCAAGCAAUUCUCCUGCCUCAGCCUUCCAAGUAGCUGGGAUUACAGGUGUGCACCACCACACCCGGCUAAUUUUUGUACUUUUAGUAGAGACGGGGUUUCACCAUGUUAGCCAGGCUGGUCGAUGGAGUUCAACAUUUUUCAUAAUAAAAAUCCUUAGAAAAGCAAAGAGUAUUCCAGACAGUGUGUGGAAGGAGGUACAUGGGGGGAAACGUCUGCAGAGGAAAACGGAGAGCUCCUGCCUUGUCUUAGGUACCAAGUCUCACUGUCGCGCCAAGACAAGGUGCAUAUUUUAUAACACAUAAUUUUAUAUUUAUUAGAAAAGGGAGGCCAGGCGUGGUGGCUCACGCCUGUAAUCCCAGCACUUUGGGAGGCCGAGGCGGGCGGAUCACAAGGUCAGGAGAUCGAGACCACGGUGAAACCCCGUCUCUACUAAAAAUACAAAAAAAUUAGCCGGGCGCUGUUAGGCUCUGUAGUCCCAGCUACUCGGGAGGCUGAGGCAGGAGAAUGGCGUGAACCCGGGUGGCGGAGCUUGCAGUGAGCCGAGAUCGCGCCACUGCACUCCAGCCUGGGCGACAGAGCGAGACUCCGUCUCAAAAAAAAAAAAAAAAAGAAAAAAAA